This is a long non-coding RNA of Podarcis raffonei (Aeolian wall lizard), 598 nucleotides long. RefSeq lists it as uncharacterized. NCBI's taxonomy places the organism in Eukaryota, Metazoa, Chordata, Lepidosauria, Squamata, Lacertidae. The transcript has 3 exons. The record is from RefSeq and is a predicted model, not a curated record.
AUAUACAGCACAAAGCAACCCGGAGAUUGCUUAUCCUCAGAACUCGUUGAAAUGAAUGGACCUGAGUUAUAUAGGGGAACCCUAAUCGUGCCCGCUACUUAGAAGAGAGGCCAUACAGGCUGUGGGCUGUUGCUUGGAUGCAGUGGUGAGAUGGAUGAGGGAAAACAAGCUCAACUUGGACCCUGGCAAGAUGGAGGCACUGUGGGAAGUUUCCAGCAGAGGCAAUAAGGAAGCAGAAUCCAACUACAGUGCGAAAUUGCCACAUACAUAAUCUCUGCUUCACGCCCAUGCGACAGACUUGACCUAGUGGCUGGAAUGCAUUCAGAACAUCACAAGACUUAAGUUUGGACACACCCGUCAUUUUCCUUCCUCUGUUGCUACCACUCUGCUGCUUCUGAAUAAUAAUAAUAAAAAGACAGAUAUGUCUUCUUCUUCUUGUUCUUCUUUUCCCCAGAAGUCCAAAAGGCUUUUUUCUCCACUCCGUUUAGCACAUGUCAUUUUCUUCACAGACAACAGUUGUAAAUGUUUUUAACAAGUUACAGGCUAUGCUCAUUCCUGUUCUUGGCUGUUUAUACUUUAUAAAAUCCUGUAAACUGUA